Anguilla rostrata (American eel) is the source of this 1149-nucleotide long non-coding RNA. RefSeq lists it as uncharacterized. The record is from RefSeq and is a predicted model, not a curated record. Lineage: Eukaryota; Metazoa; Chordata; Actinopteri; Anguilliformes; Anguillidae. The transcript is spliced from 2 exons.
UUUAUUUUGUGUUGGAUGCAGGUGCGCUCUUUCUCUCCAUGAGACAGACAACGGUGUUGCCCGGUACUGCCGCAUCUCCCUCGCAGGGAUGUCACACUCGCGUCUUGCAUUUUGUGCCGAAACUCAGGAGCCAGCGGUCUCGGCGUAAGCCGAAAUUAGACUUCGGCUGCAUUCUCAUGAUGGAGGUGUGAGGCCGUCGGUCCGCCUGAGAAGCGGAUUGGUCUCGGCUGCGCCGGCUGCUGGAGAGAGCACACGCACCUGGAUUGCGUUAGCUAAUCAGCCCAGUCAUUGGACCUGCUGGAGCAUGGAGACCCUGCUCCACUGCUCUGGAUUCACAAAGGAUGAGGGCCAUUCUUCCCCAGCCCUAGGGUUACUGAAGUACAGUAUAUCCUUCCGGAAGCUUCCAAAGUCUCAAGAGCCCAACAGACUUUGAUCCCUAUUCUGGAAUUUGCUUUCUAAGCAUAGUCCAUGACACACAUAGCCGGCUAUUAUGGGAACUCAGUUUCUCAGGCACUGUUAGAUGGGCUGGCAUACAUGCACUUGUACAGUAAUUCUGUCUAUGUUCAGUUCCUUUCUGUCCUAUUAAGGUUGAUUUAUUGAUUGAUUAAUUGAGAGUCGGACAGGGAGAGCUGUCCACAGCAGCACUGGUUGCAAAUUACAGAGUAAGUGACAAUGUGCCACAACAUGAUGACUAUUGAAUCAGCAACAGCAGCAGGUACAUCAUAUUGCCCUGAGAAUAAAUGAUUAUUCCCUGGCCUGUAUUUGCAUAGGUAUUCAACACUGUACUUCCUUAGGGUUUCAAGACAUUUGUCAUAAUUUUUAACUGUGGAGAAUGCAGCCAGGGCAAACCAGAAGUCCUGAUCAACAAACCUACAUCAUUCCCCAGUAAGCACAUGAAUGAUGAUGCCUUUCUGGAGGUGUGAUUUUAAUGGGUGCGCACUGGAUGUUUGUAGCAUGCUCCUAGGUCCCCGUCUACAGUUCAUAUCUCCUGUUUAUGCUUUUGGCACCUUCAAUAAGGGUGAGCAAGUGAACCGUGCACCCACCUACUUUCCAAAUGACAGCUUGGGUAAAAUUCUCUAGUGUACUCAGGUAAAAUGGAAUCUAUAAUUUAAAUACCUGAACGACCACAUAAACCCCUACCCCCCUGAA